Molecule: ribosomal RNA, 418 nt
Filed under: uncultured bacterium
Lineage: Bacteria
Description: bacterial SSU rRNA
Rfam family: Bacterial small subunit ribosomal RNA
Source: RNAcentral
UAAGGAAUAUUGCGCAAUGGACGAAAGUCUGACGCAGCAACGCCGCGUGCAGGAUGAAGGCCCUUUGGGUUGUAAACUGCUGUAGCAGGGGAAUAAUAACCGUCUCGGACGGGAAUGAAGGUACCCUGAAAGUAAGCUCCGGCUAACUACGUGCCAGCAGCCGCGGUAAUACGUAGGGAGUAAGCGUUGUCCGGAUUCACUGGGUGUAAAGGGUGCGCAGGCGGAUUUGUAAGUCAGAGGUGAAAUCUCACGGCUCAACCGUGAAACUGCCUUUGAUACUGCAGAUCUUGAGUUUGGGAGAGGUUGAUGGAAUUCCAGGUGUAGCGGUGAAAUGCGUAGAUAUCUGGAAGAACACCAGUGGCGAAGGCGGUCAACUGGCCCAUAACUGACGCUCAGGCACGAAAGCGUGGGUAGCAAA